UAACGAAUCUUCCGCAAUGGGCGAAAGCCUGACGGAGCGACGCCGCGUGCAGGAGGAAGUCCUUCGGGAUGUAAACUGCUUUUAGGGGAACGAAAACACAGCGACCUAACACGUCGUGAGUUGAUCUACCCCAGAAAAAGCCUCGGCUAACUCUGUGCCAGCAGCCGCGGUAAGACAGAGGAGGCUAGCGUUGUUCGGAAUCACUGGGCUUAAAGCGCGUGUAGGCGGCCUCGUAAGUGCCUUGUGAAAU
This 250-nucleotide ribosomal RNA is filed under the name uncultured bacterium. RNAcentral's name for it is "partial 16S ribosomal RNA". It matches the Rfam family "Bacterial small subunit ribosomal RNA", at positions 355 to 600 of the family's 1533-position model. The record is from RNAcentral.